Molecule: ribosomal RNA, 452 nt
Filed under: uncultured bacterium
Lineage: Bacteria
Description: bacterial SSU rRNA
Rfam family: Bacterial small subunit ribosomal RNA
Source: RNAcentral
GGGGACCCGCACAAGCGGUGGAGUAUGUUCUUAAUUCGAUGCAACGCGAAGAACCUUACCUGGACUUGACAUCCGCCGGAAUUACCAUGAAAAUGGUGAGUGCCCACUUUGUGGGAAUCGCGUGACAGGUGCUGCAUGGCUGUCGUCAGUUCGUGUCGUGAGAUGUUGGGUUAAGUCCCGCAACGAACGCAACCCCCUAUCUCUAGUUGCCAGCAUUAAGUUGGGGACUCUAGAGAGACUGCCAAGGUGACAACUUGGAGGAAGGUGGGGACGACGUCAAGUCAUCAUGGUCCUUACGUCCAGGGCUAGAAACGUACUACAAUGGUUGGUACAGAGGGCGGCUGCACAGCGAUGUGUGGCAAAUCCCAAAAACCAACCUCAGUUCGGAUUGGAGUCUGCAACUCGACUCCAUGAAGUUGGAAUCGCUAGUAAUCGCGGAUCAGCAAUGCCGC